Molecule: ribosomal RNA, 623 nt
Filed under: Bacillus haynesii
Lineage: Bacteria; Bacillati; Bacillota; Bacilli; Caryophanales; Bacillaceae
Description: bacterial SSU rRNA
Rfam family: Bacterial small subunit ribosomal RNA
Source: RNAcentral
CCUGCCUGUAAGACUGGGAUAACUCCGGGAAACCGGGGCUAAUACCGGAUGCUUGAUUGAACCGCAUGGUUCAAUUAUAAAAGGUGGCUUUUACCUACCACUUACAGAUGGACCCGCGGCGCAUUACCUAGUUGGUGAGGUAACGGCUCACCAAGGCAACGAUGCGUAGCCGACCUGAAAGGGUGAUCGGCCACACUGGGACUGAAACACGGCCCAAACUCCUACGGGAGGCAGCAGUAGGGAAUCUUCCGCAAUGGACAAAAGUCUGACGGAGCAACGCCGCGUGAGUGAUGAAGGUUUUCGGAUCGUAAAACUCUGUUGUUAGGGAAGAACAAGUACCGUUCGAAUAGGGCGGUACCUUGACGGUACCUAACCAAAAAGCCACGGCUAACUACGUGCCAGCAGCCGCGGUAAUACGUAGGUGGCAAGCGUUGUCCGGAAUUAUUGGGCGUAAAGCGCGCGCAGGCGGUUUCUUAAGUCUGAUGUGAAAGCCCCCGGCUCAACCGGGGAGGGUCAUUGGAAACUGGGGAACUUGAUUGCAAAAAAGGAAAGUGGAAUUCCACGUGUAGCGGUGAAAUGCGUAAAGAUGUGGAGGAACACCAGUGGCGAAGGCGACUCUCUGG